GUCCCCGUAGCUCAAUCGGAUAGAGCGUCUGCCUCCGGAGCAGAAGGUUGCAAGUUCGAAUCUUGUCGGGGACGCCA
Molecule: transfer RNA, 77 nt
Filed under: Eggerthellaceae bacterium
Lineage: Bacteria; Bacillati; Actinomycetota; Coriobacteriia; Eggerthellales; Eggerthellaceae
Description: tRNA-Arg
Rfam family: tRNA
About the family: Transfer RNA (tRNA) molecules are approximately 80 nucleotides in length. Their secondary structure includes four short double-helical elements and three loops (D, anti-codon, and T loops).
Source: RNAcentral